UCCCUUGCGACUGUGAGCCCCCAGAGAGCAAGACAGACAUGAAAUACCCUGUUGACCAGAUGACAGACGGGCACCUAUUGACCUGACCUCGGCCAUGCCUCCGUCCCUCACGUUACCAGAAAUAAGGUGACGGAAGCACGAGGGCCCCAGAUCCUUAUAAUUAACGCAGUCAGCCAGAGAGAUGGUAGUUCUGAUUUCUUGGGGUUUUGCUUUUUCCAGAAACAUCCCUAUGUUGCUGAACAACUCACCAGAGGAAUUUUAUUUUCACAAGCGAGAAGGUUUGUGGAAUUCUAACCUCUGAAGGUACCAGGAAUCACCCAGAGACGCUCCCUCCCAGGGAAGGGGCUUUGUCACCUCAGCCUCAGGGCCACCCUCCUCAGCGGGGACUCGGGUCCGGUCCCGUGUGAGCCCGGCUCAGCUUUGCGUGCUCGGUCCUCAGAGCCGCUGCCGGAGAAGCCCUGAUCCAGUCUGCCCUGGCCCACCGUGCCCUGAAUUUCCCGCAGAUCAACCUGUUAGGGCUCCCUCGAAAGUGAUUUAUUCCUGCGCAGGAGCAGAGUCACGGCCCCAUCUGACAAAGUACACCUGUGCUGAGACGGAGUCAGCGCCCCACGCCCUGGGCCAGACAGUUCACGGGAGACGCCACUGAAUGUCCUCGGGGCUCCUUGUGAAAUGAUAAAUGGCACAUUUGGGGGGUUUAUUUUCUAUCAUCGUGCCUACAAUUUAUUGAGCAUCUCCCGCGAGCUAAAUCCGUGACGUCUGUUUCCUCUUGUGAACGAGCAAGCCAACAUGGAGGGAGGUGUUAGCAUCCCCCUUGCCUGGUCGAAAGAGCUGAAGCUCAGAGAGGUUGCAUAAUUUCCCCAAAGUCAGCCAGCCAAAGGGGUUAGAACCCCAGAUGAGGAGGGAAAUCGUCCUAACUGCAGACGUCUGGGUUCAGCCCUGGGACGUUCUUGUUCAGAAGUCUUGGGAGACCCAGAAAUGGUCUGGGCAUUGCAGGCAACCUCCCGGCCAGGCUUGGGCCACUGGUGGAAACCCUGCAGUUCCGGGUUUAGACCCAGAGCUCUUCCGGGGUCUGUAUCCUCGCCGUCUCGCUGCUACAUUUCAGAAUCGAGACACGUAUAUCGUGAUGGUCUCUGUUGCUUGGACGUUUAGGUAGAAUUUAUUUUCUUAUCUGAUUUGCCUCAGAAUUGACAUUUUGAAGAGUGGGUCCUGCCUCUGGUUUUUUUGCUUGUUUGUUUGCUUUUGUGUUUCUGUUUUGUGGCUGUGUUGGGUCUUCAUUUCUCCGCAGGCUUUCUCUAGUUGCGCAGAGCAGGGGCUACUCUUAGUUGCGGUGCGCGGGCUUCUCAUUGCAAUGUCUUCUCUUGUUGCGGAGCACAGGCUCUAGGUGCGCGGGCUUCAGUAGUUGUGGCAUGUGGGCUCAGUAGUUGUGGCUCGUGGGCUCUAGAGCACAGGCUCAGUAGUUGUGGCGCAUGGGCUUAGUUGCUCUGCAGCAUGUGGGAUCUUCCUGGACCGGGAAUUGAAUCCGUGUCCCCUGCAUUGGCAGGCGGAUUCUUAACCACUGCACCACCAGGGAAGUCCCAGCAUUUUAUCUGACAUUAACCAACUUAGCCACGGUUUACUCACCACUCACUUCAUGUAUUUAAGGUUUUUCUUGAGGAGACUAAGGGUCCUCAAAGCUGAGUCCUGCUUCACAUCACCCACGAGUGUCCAGCAUCUUCCAGAAUCUGGGUCAUGGGGUCCAUCCGUGCCGUGUGUAUAUCCCGACCACCAAAUACACCACACAUGGGACUCGAUAUUGAAUUAAAGAUUAGGUGACCAAUCAAUGAGUCUUUGGGUUCCUGACCAAAUCUUUCCACCAUAAAUUGUAGAAUCUCGACGUUUUAAUGAACCAAGUAGGAAGCCCACUUCUUCAGGUCAGAGGUCAGAGGUGAUUCAGGUUGAGGGGCUGCUGUGCUUUGCUGGUGGUGACUGAGCCCUUGAGACGGGGCACACGGGGCUGUCAGAUCUCCUGGUGACACGACCACGCCACGUACCACGGGACCUUCUCAUAUUAAAUCACGUUGUGACCUGCUGUGAUCCCAGCAGGUGUUCCCCAGGAGACGCUCCCAUUCUCAUCCGAGCCCACGAACACCUGGGACAGGAGUCCGUGGAAACUCCCGCCUCCCCCAGGUGGCUGCCGGACUGAGGACACGGGGGGAGGAAGCUGCCACACGGGGUGAGAAUUGGGCUGCGUCUGCCUGCGAUGCUGACACCAUGAUGCUCGAGGACGCAGGAUGGUCCAAAGUCCGGGGACCGAGCAGCUGGCUCCCCUCCUGCGGCUGGAUCCCGGCUUUCCUUUAUCCGCAGGGAGCAUCUGACGGUGCUGAGGGCAUCGUGGGUGUCGUGUCCUUACAACGCCGCUCCCGUCGUAACAGAUGGACUCUGUCUUUUCCUCACUGGCGUUCGUCUUCCGUAUGACGUUUCUUCCAGCUGGAAGAGGAGUUGACUGGACCCUCUUAGCAGUCAGGGCUUUGGUCGUAGUUGGAUGUCGGCAGGGAAGUGAUGGCCUGUUUGGAUGAAGAGUCAGCGGAAGUGACGGCUGGGCUGUUACUCUGACGAGAAAACAUGGGACCCGAAUAUGGUGAAGUUUGUCCCUGCCCAGCUGCCCUGUGAACACGGUUCUGUGCCAGGGAUGGCAAGUGCCCUCCUGGAGCCUCAGAUCUGCAUGAACACGGCCCCAGUGGCACGGUAGGCUCGCCGUGGCUCCACGGGGUCAUCCCAACUCCCAACCCCCUUCCAGGUUUAAGCCUGAAAAGCUGACACGUGGUUAGAACCUGGGCUCAGCCGUCAAAGCCCCAGAUGGGCAGCCGCGGAAAUCCACAGGGUCUUCCUUGCUCUCCAGUCCAGGAAGUGCAAAAUCCGGUCCCGUUUUUGUUAGUUUUUGCCAGAUGGUCUUUCAACAUUAGAACAUAAGUCACACCGUGUCACUAGAUCCCGGGGACCUCCCCAUUCAGGACCAGGGUCAGAGCGCUCAGGAGGGUCCCGGGACCCUCUGUGGGGGGAGCCCCUUACCCCUCCCACAGGUCACUCGGUGCCGCUGCCGCAGCCGCCUCCCUCCUCCGGGACAUGGCCAGGCCUCCCCAUGCUCCGUCAGCGGUCAGCCAGGAGCCCUGUCCCCGUGCCAGGCCAGCCCCUGCCCCCCUUUGUGCCCCUGCGCCCGCCACCCGCUCCGCCGGGCCGUGUCUGGGCGCCCCUUCUGGAAUCCCGAUGGCCUGGAGGGCACAGAGGGGCACGUUCGCGCUCAGCCCAUCCCGCCUCCCCGCCACCAUGCACCCUGUGUUUUCUGUCGCCCGCCCGACAGGACGACACGGCUCCUUUAAGACGCGGCGGCCUGCGCGUAAGGCUUCGCCGGCACGUGACGACGCACCGAGCAUGCGCUCAGCAAAGCCCGGCGCAGAACCCGCGGGGCCGCGGCGCUGCCGCCGGGCCGGGGCCCCCGGCGCCACGCCCGGAGCAAAGCCCGUCACUGUGUUAGUCCCGAGGCCUCCGCCACCGCCGCGAAGCCCCUUCCCAAGGCUCUCGGGGCCCCAAGCCUCAGGCGGUGGCGGCAUGUUUCCGAGGCUGCGCCUCGUGCCCCAGGGUCUGUGACCUUCCUACGAGGAGCCGUCAGCGGGCCCGGGACGCUCCUGCGACCGGCAGUGGGCGAGCGAACGGAGGCCACACACGUCUCUCCUGCCACCUGGAAGUCGCCUCGGCGUCGGGCGGCCAGCGGCGCAGGACGCCGGGGCGGAGCCUGCCGCCCUCAGCCCGUCUGCUCCAGGCCCAGCCCGGCUCCCGGCCCUCCCGUCUCCGGGCCGUCCGGCUUCCUCACAGGUUGGUGAUGGCAACAUUACGUCGUUCCGUGAAUUUCCUGGUUGGAGAUCUCCGCAUAGAUGUCAUCUUAAAGAUCAUUGAGACCAUCGACAUCAUUGUAAAAUGUAGAUUAGCACGACUGACACUAUUUCAGGCCCUCUCUCACUGGGACCAGUUGACCUGGCAAAUGUGUGACCCCAAGGUCAAGCCCUUCAGGGCGGGUGACCUGAAUCAGAAGGGGAGAGGAAAUCUGAGGUCACACGGCCUUCUUGAGAGUCAAGAAGAACUUAAGGGAUACAGAGAUGGUUGUAAGAACGAAAGAAAAGUUAUCCAAUACUUCAGCCCAUUGCAGAAGAGGUCUUAUUUCCAAAAAACCACAAGAAGGUGAUUGGGUUUCCUACAGCUCAGGAACAAGGAGGCAGGAGCUCAGAACUCGAAACUGAAAUAGACAACACAACUGUCCUCCAGUGGCCUUUGGAAAUUUCGCUUCUCAGCUGGCUCCUGUGGUGGGGAGAUGGUUUGGAUCUGCUGCUGCAGGAUUCUUGCCCGAGGCAGCUUUGCGGACAUGCAGUAGCCGCCGCAGAGCCUCCUGCCCUGCCCGUCCCCUCCCGGCCCAUCAGUGACCACGCAGAACCUUGGCCUCCUUCUGCAGAAACAGGCUCCAGCUCCACCCACCCCCGCCCCCACUGCCUGCCAAGCAGAAAUUCUGUAUCAGGGAAGCUACAGAAAAAGGAGGUGGACAUCGUUUCAUCUGGUAGGCCUGAGUCCUGGCCGGGAUUCUCAUUUUUGGUUGAUGGUAUGAAGUUGGUCGAGUUUCCACGUAACUUUCCUCUGGGCCUGCUGAUACGUGUUACCUGACAGAAGAACAUCUUGGGCCAUCUCACGUGACCAUCCACAUAAGAAAGCACCGUGCCUGUCCCGUCUGUGGACCGUCAGCCCCUCUCCAUCCUGCGGGUGGAGGUACCGCACCGGCCGCCAGGCAUGGGGUCUGCUGGGCUCGGCCUGAACGCGCACCCAGCGUCCUUCCUCCCGAAGCAGCCUGCCCGGAAAGGCCAGGCAUCGGCCACGGGGAGCAGCCCGCAGGCUCUGCAGCGCCUGUCCUUCAAGGGGCUGCCUUAAACCGACGGCCACAACCAGGCUGUGAGCUCAGGGCCUUGGGCAGAACCUCACGUUAACGCGACAGGGACAGGC
This is a long non-coding RNA of Orcinus orca (killer whale), 5019 nucleotides long. RefSeq lists it as uncharacterized. Lineage: Eukaryota; Metazoa; Chordata; Mammalia; Artiodactyla; Delphinidae. The transcript is spliced from 3 exons. The record is from RefSeq and is a predicted model, not a curated record.